RNAcentral lists this ribosomal RNA (497 nucleotides) under uncultured bacterium. RNAcentral describes it as "partial 16S ribosomal RNA". It matches the Rfam family "Bacterial small subunit ribosomal RNA", at positions 28 to 507 of the family's 1533-position model. The record is from RNAcentral.
GAUGAACGCUGGCGGCGUGCCUAAUACAUGCAAGUCGAGCGAACAGACGAGGAGCUUGCUCCUCUGACGUUAGCGGCGGACGGGUGAGUAACACGUGGAUGACCUACCUAUAAGACUGGGAUAACUUCGGGAAACCGGAGCUAAUACCGGAUAACAUGUUGAACCGCAUGGUUCAACAGUGAAAGACGGUCUUGCUGUCACUUAUAGAUGGAUCCGCGCCGCAUUAGCUAGUUGGUAAGGUAACGGCUUACCAAGGCAACGAUGCGUAGCCGACCUGAGAGGGUGAUCGGCCACACUGGAACUGAGACACGGUCCAGACUCCUACGGGAGGCAGCAGUAGGGAAUCUUCCGCAAUGGGCGAAAGCCUGACGGAGCAACGCCGCGUGAGUGAAGAAGGUCUUCGGAUCGUAAAACUCUGUUAUUAGGGAAGAACAAAUGUGUAAGUAACUAUGCACGUCUUGACGGUACCUAAUCAGAAAGCCACGGCUAACUACGUG